RNAcentral lists this ribosomal RNA (93 nucleotides) under Sulfuricella sp. RNAcentral describes it as "partial 23S ribosomal RNA". It matches the Rfam family "Bacterial large subunit ribosomal RNA", at positions 2833 to 2925 of the family's 2925-position model. Lineage: Bacteria; Pseudomonadati; Pseudomonadota; Betaproteobacteria; Nitrosomonadales; Sulfuricellaceae. The record is from RNAcentral.
GUUCGUUGAAGACCACAACGUUGAUAGGUCGGGUGUGGAAGCGCAGUAAUGCGUUAAGCUAACCGAUACUAAUUGACCGUGAGGCUUGAUCCU